RNAcentral lists this long non-coding RNA (204 nucleotides) under Capsicum annuum. Its description in RNAcentral is "long non-coding RNA (CANN_LNC018893)". The record is from RNAcentral. Lineage: Eukaryota; Viridiplantae; Streptophyta; Magnoliopsida; Solanales; Solanaceae.
AAGAAGAAAAACAUCACUUGUUUGCUAGCUGUGUCCAAGAGUAGUACUUGGUGUUUUUGAGAGUGGAAAAAAUGAUGGAAUCAGGGGUUCCAUUAUGUAACAUUUGUUGCGAAAGAGGGGGGCUAGAAAAUGAAUUCUUCUGCUAAGUUUCACCUUUCCAGUUGUAAGUUAUAUAAUGUAUUCAAGUAAUACCCUCCUGCAUAG